RNAcentral lists this transfer RNA (71 nucleotides) under Junonia artaxia. RNAcentral describes it as "tRNA-Ser". Lineage: Eukaryota; Metazoa; Arthropoda; Insecta; Lepidoptera; Nymphalidae. The record is from RNAcentral. RNAcentral also lists the same sequence under 1 other name.
AAUUAAUUAAUGAGCUUGUUAUAAAGCAUUUGUUUUGAAAACAUAAGAAAGAAUAAUUAUUCUAUUAAUUU